CGUAUGGUGCAAGCGUUAUCCGGAUUUACUGGGUGUAAAGGGUGCGUAGGUGGUGAGACAAGUCUGAAGUGAAAAUCCGGGGCUUAACCCCGGAACUGCUUUGGAAACUGCCUGACUAGAGUACAGGAGAGGUAAGUGGAAUUCCUAGUGUAGCGGUGAAAUGCGUAGAUAUUAGGAGGAACACCAGUGGCGAAGGCGACUUACUGGACUGCUACUGACACUGAGGCACGAAAGCGUGGGGAGCAAACAGGAUU
Molecule: ribosomal RNA, 254 nt
Filed under: uncultured bacterium
Lineage: Bacteria
Description: partial 16S ribosomal RNA
Rfam family: Bacterial small subunit ribosomal RNA
Source: RNAcentral